GCACCAUCUCCCCUGUGGUUCCAGCUUCUGCUGAACAGCUUCUCUUUCCACUGUCCAGCUGCAAUCAUGUAACUUCUUGUAGAGCCAGUUCUUACUGAACAGCUCCAGCUCGUGGACCCUGGUAACAGUGUUUUCUCCUUGGUCUCUCCAGCCCUAGGAUUGUAGAUGUCUCUGUCCCUUGUUUGGCUUUUUUAUUCCUUCAGUAGCAUUGCAAUUAGUUCCCCAUAUUCAAUUCUCUCUCUUAAUGACCUGGCAUGCAUUUAUCUGUUUUCCUGAUUGGACCCUGAAUGAUACAGAUGGUCUUCCAUCCAAAUAAUAAACCUGAUUUGGUUUCUCAGCCAAAUGAUGGCGUUUUAUCAUCUUUCAUCUGGGCUUGAAAGCUUGCAGAUCUGACUUCAAGCAGCAAAACAGAAAUCUGCUUUGAAAAUAUUAGUUGGCACACCCGCACCCACUCUAAAUUCCCUUCUUCCUUGCCUGCCUCCACUCUGGAGGCUGGAGAAAGUGAAAUAUUUUCUCUGUGAGUCUGUCCUUCACCUAGAGUUGGCCUUGUGACACAAUUCAGAACAGCUCAAUAAAGGAAAAUCUGCUGGUACUACUUCUGUCCUUCUCCAUUUCUUUAUACCUAAAAGAUGGACAGAAUGGCUGAUGUUCAUAGCUGUGAGAAAAGAGUCAUGAGAUAAGGCCAAGAGCAUUACAGAUAUUGAAUCUGACAUCAUAGAAGCUUUGAACAACGUUUCAAACUUUUUUUUCUCUCUUUUGAGAUGGAGUCUUGCUCUUCUCACCCAGGCUGGAAUGCAGUGGCGCAAUCUCGGCUCACUGCAACCUCUGUCUCCCGGGUUCAAGCGAUUCUCCUGCCUCAGUCUCCCGAGUUGCUGGGACUACAGACGUGUGCCACCAUGCCUGGCUAAUUUUUUGUAUUUUUAGUAGAGAAGGGUUUCACUGUGUUACCCAGGAUGCUCUCCAUCUCCUGACCUCUUGAUCUGCCCGCCUUGGCCUCCCAACAUGCUGGGAUUACAGCGUGAGCCACCGCGCCCAGCCUCAGACUUAUUUUUAUACAAGGUUUCAACAGGAAAAAACAAACAACUAUCCCCAAUCCUGGACAUCGGAUGAACUCUUUAGAGAAGCAAGUGGGUCUGAGCAAUGUUGGGGUUGGACUGUAAUGGAUUUUGCAGUGUAUUGCCCAGAUUGCUCUCUUGGGAGCAAGUCCCUUAUUUUCCAGCUGUCAGAAGUGUUGGCUGCUGACAGCUCACAGCUGCGCCCUUCGCUGAGACUUGUUCUCAGCUGAUGAUUGCUGCCUGGCUUAUGGUUAUGUCACCUCCCUGAGGCGCAGUUUUCUUCAAGUGACUUACCAUUGCAGUGGUACACAAACUUAGUCCUGUUCCUCUAAUGUAGGCACAAUUCCAAGGGCCAGCCCAAUUCCAGAUACCUGUGGGUCUGGCUGACACAUCUCUUUUUAGCUGAUGCUUGGUUCACUUCUCCCUCUAUCUAAUUCUGCUUUUCUGACAUCUUUACAGGUUGUGUUCCUGAGUAUACUUGCUAGUAACCUUCCUACAUGCAAGUUUUUGUUUCAGAGCUGGUUUCCUGGGGAAUGAAACCACGACAAUUAUAAUGAAUGAAAUACAUAAUCUGCCAUUUCACUGCUUAAAAUAUUGAUGGCGUUUUUACAACAUCAUGUCAUGCCCCAAAUUUCUCACCUGAGGAUUUUGUUUUAGAAUUAAGUAGUCAGGAAGAUAUUACUUUCCUGAAAACCUGUUCUCUUCCUUUAUUAAUGAAAAAUUAGACAAUUGAUCAUUACUCUAUAUUUGGUUACUGAGAGAAUAAACUUGCUAUUUUGUCCUUCCCCAAAUUCUGAAAAAAAAUUGUUAAAACAUCUGUAGCAAAUGGAAGCAGAUAUCACUUUUAUUACAAUAAUGGUUAAGUGGGAGAAUAGAAGUCAAUGUAAAGCCAAGAAAGCUCUCUCCUCUAAACCUCAAAUACUAGCAGUUUUAUCCAUCCAUUCGCUUUAGUACAGGCAGGGCAGUUCUUCCUAUGCAACACAAAGGAAAUUGCAUACUCCUUGAAGGCUCCUCCCACCUAGUUGGAUAAAAAGAGGAAGGGGAUAUAGGCUAUCGAUGCCUGAUUUCUCCAUCCUAACUCAACAAUAAUAUAAGUUGCCACACCUUCCCACACAUCGUUGCUCUCCCAAUGAUAGAAUGUAGUUGGGCACCAUGAACAAAUGGUACCAGUUCGGCAGUUACUGCUGUAGUUCAACAUGGCCCCGUUGACAGCCUCAAGGAAAACAAUAGGCAUAGAGAAAAGAGGGCCCUUUGGGACGUUUCAUGCACAGGAAAAAGUGACUGAUCUAAUAUGGGGUGGGGAGAAUGGAGGUUCCUAAUAGAACCCCAGAUUCUCAAUGGAUAAUGGUUUCAUUGAGGUGGGGAGCCCAGGAAAAGGAGGCAAUUUUAGGAAGGGAGAUGAAGAGUGCUGUUUAUCUUCUCUAAGUUGUUUCCUGGUCUGAUCAGUAUUUGAGAAAAUAUAUUUAGAGAAUGUGAUCACUCCUCCGCUUAUACACAUUAUACACAUACCUCUGCCACUGAUUUUUGGCUCAAUCCAGCCUAUUCUCCACACUGUUGUGAUCUUUUCAAACUGUAACAUAUGCAGGGAAAUAAUUUAGCAAUAAAAAAAGAAUGAAAUACGCAUGUUGCAACAUGAAUAAACCUUGAAAAUAAGCUGCUAUGGUUGAGGCCAAUGCCCCGGUCACUGCAGACCCUGCUGUAGUAGUCUCUGUACAUAUUGAAGUGCUGCUGAAUAAAGUCUUUCUAAUCAUGGGGAAAAAAUAAUAUUAUGCUAAGUGAAAGAAGCUAGACACAAGAGCCCACAUAUUGUGUGGGCCACUUACAUGAAACAUCCAGAGUCAACAAAUCCACUGCAACAGACUGUGUAGAUUGGUGGUCCCAGUGGCCAGUGGCUGGGCAGGGAGUGGUGGAGAGGAACGUGGGGAGUGACGGCUUAAUGGGUCUGAGAUUUGUGUGUGUAGGUUGGUGGUGGGGGCAGGGUGGUGAUGAAAAUGUUCUACAACUAGUGUGUAUGAUUGCACAACUGUGAAUAUACAGAAACCACUCAAUUGCGCUUUAAAAGGUUGAAUCUUUUGGUGUGUUCAUUACAUUUCAAUAAACCUUAUUUUUAAAAUCCACUUAAAAAUCCUUCCGCAAUUUUUAUUAAGGAGGGUAAUUAGAGCU
Long non-coding RNA from Callithrix jacchus (white-tufted-ear marmoset), 3218 nucleotides. Lineage: Eukaryota; Metazoa; Chordata; Mammalia; Primates; Cebidae. The record is from Ensembl.